Long non-coding RNA from Pogonomyrmex barbatus (red harvester ant), 707 nucleotides. RefSeq lists it as uncharacterized. The record is from RefSeq and is a predicted model, not a curated record. Lineage: Eukaryota; Metazoa; Arthropoda; Insecta; Hymenoptera; Formicidae.
AUUGUGGAGGACGGGUCUUGAUCCAACGCCUAGCCUCCGAAGGAGCUCGCUCGGGCGCCCGAUGGUAGCGGUUCGCUCAUCAUUGUAAUUACUUCACGAGGAUGUACCAGUAUAUUGGAUCAUUAUCGACCGCUCCAUAUCUACCACCUAGCCCGUCUGCUCAUGGGUCCGAGAAGAGAUCGAUCGUGACCGCGAUUCACAACCGCGGUAACGCUCUUCACCGCCGUUAUCGACAAUGACGCUCGAGCGACGCGCCGUCGUCGAAGAUGAGACUACGUUAGAAUUCCAUCGAGAUGAAGCCUUGACAUUUCGUGGCCUGGAAUCGACCGGCAUAAUUGAUCGGUCUCCGCGUGUGGCUCCCAUUCGACGAACGACCGUGCUAUUCCAUUCCGUCCGGUGUAGUUACGACGAACCGCGUCGUACGACCUCGCGCUCAGCGACGAAACGCGGCCGUGUCGACUCUGCGAACAGGAUUCCAGUCUUUCGCGGAACGAAAAAGAAGCGAGACCAAUUAAAUUGGAUCCUUAGAACGUCUCGCUGGAAGAGGAGGGCUCAAAGUUGAAGCAAAUCGCAAUAAAAAAAUUAUGAAAAUAAUUCGAAGAACGAUAAAUGAUAAUGUUUUAUCGACGCUUGUGUUUGAUUUUGCAUUAUAUUAUAUCUCUUGACGUAUAAUUUUGUCCGUGUCAAUGAUUUUUGAAAAAAAAAAA